RNAcentral lists this ribosomal RNA (838 nucleotides) under Shigella sonnei. Its description in RNAcentral is "partial 23S ribosomal RNA". It matches the Rfam family "Bacterial large subunit ribosomal RNA", at positions 450 to 1287 of the family's 2925-position model. Lineage: Bacteria; Pseudomonadati; Pseudomonadota; Gammaproteobacteria; Enterobacterales; Enterobacteriaceae. The record is from RNAcentral.
GGCCCAUCCUCCAAGGCUAAAUACUCCUGACUGACCGAUAGUGAACCAGUACCGUGAGGGAAAGGCGAAAAGAACCCCGGCGAGGGGAGUGAAAAAGAACCUGAAACCGUGUACGUACAAGCAGUGGGAGCACGCUUAGGCGUGUGACUGCGUACCUUUUGUAUAAUGGGUCAGCGACUUAUAUUCUGUAGCAAGGUUAACCGAAUAGGGGAGCCGAAGGGAAACCGAGUCUUAACUGGGCGUUAAGUUGCAGGGUAUAGACCCGAAACCCGGUGAUCUAGCCAUGGGCAGGUUGAAGGUUGGGUAACACUAACUGGAGGACCGAACCGACUAAUGUUGAAAAAUUAGCGGAUGACUUGUGGCUGGGGGUGAAAGGCCAAUCAAACCGGGAGAUAGCUGGUUCUCCCCGAAAGCUAUUUAGGUAGCGCCUCGUGAAUUCAUCUCCGGGGGUAGAGCACUGUUUCGGCAAGGGGGUCAUCCCGACUUACCAACCCGAUGCAAACUGCGAAUACCGGAGAAUGUUAUCACGGGAGACACACGGCGGGUGCUAACGUCCGUCGUGAAGAGGGAAACAACCCAGACCGCCAGCUAAGGUCCCAAAGUCAUGGUUAAGUGGGAAACGAUGUGGGAAGGCCCAGACAGCCAGGAUGUUGGCUUAGAAGCAGCCAUCAUUUAAAGAAAGCGUAAUAGCUCACUGGUCGAGUCGGCCUGCGCGGAAGAUGUAACGGGGCUAAACCAUGCACCGAAGCUGCGGCAGCGACGCUUAUGCGUUGUUGGGUAGGGGAGCGUUCUGUAAGCCUGCGAAGGUGUGCUGUGAGGCAUGCUGGAGGUAUCAGAA